This 442-nucleotide ribosomal RNA is filed under the name uncultured archaeon. RNAcentral's name for it is "bacterial SSU rRNA". It matches the Rfam family "Archaeal small subunit ribosomal RNA", at positions 1 to 458 of the family's 1478-position model. The record is from RNAcentral.
CUUCCGCCGGACCUGACUGCUAUCGGAUUGAUACUAAGCCAUGUGAGUCUUUGUAGCAAUACAAGGCAGACGGCUCAGUAACGCGUAGCCAACCUACCCUAUGGACAGGGAUAACCUCGGGAAACUGAGGAUAAUACCUGAUAGAUCAUAAUGCCUGGAACGGUUUAUGGUCCAAAUGAUUCGUCGCCGUAGGAUGGGACUGCGGCCUAUCAGCUUGUUGGUGAGGUAAUGGCCCACCAAGGCUAUUACAGGUACGGGCUCUGAGAGGAGAAGCCCGGAGAUGGGUACUGAGACACGGACCCAGGCCCUAUGGGGCGCAGCAGGCGAGAAAACUUUGCAAUGUGCGAAAGCACGACAAGGUUAAUCCGAGUGAUUCCUGCUAAAGGAAUCUUUUGUUAGUCGUAAAACCACUGAUGAAUAAGGGGUGGGCAAGUUCUGGUGU